CAUAUUAGAAAGGCAUAAGUGGCAGGUGAAGAAAGUCAGGAUUUCUAGUCAUGGAUUUCAGCAACAUUACGUCAACGGUUUGGUCAUAUAUCACGUGGCCCCUCAGCUUUAUUAGUCAACCAAUCAAACAGCCUAUUUUAGGUGGAGUUUUUGGAUGGGCCAUUGUUUGGAUUAUCUUUCACAUUGGAUACACAGUUCUAGUGUACCUUG
This is a long non-coding RNA of Magallana angulata, 210 nucleotides long. RefSeq lists it as uncharacterized. Lineage: Eukaryota; Metazoa; Mollusca; Bivalvia; Ostreida; Ostreidae. The transcript has 3 exons. The record is from RefSeq and is a predicted model, not a curated record.